AAAUACUAAAAAAAAAAAAAAAAAAAGAAAAGCUCCCUGGCUGGGCAUGAUGACUCACACCUGUAAUCCCAGCACUUUGGGAGGCCGAGGCAGGCAGAUCACUUGAGGCCAGGAGUUCAAGACCAGCCUGGCCAACAUGGCGAAACCUGGUCUCUACUGAAAAAAAAAAAAAAAAAAAAAAAAAGUAACCGGACGUGGUAGUGCACGCAUGUAGUCCCAAAUGCUGGGGAGGCUGAGGCAUGAGAAUCGCAUAACCCCAGCGGCAGAGGUUGCAGUGAGCUGAGAUCACACCACUGCACUCCAGCCUGGGCAACAGAGUAAGACUCUGCCUCAAAAAAAAAAAAAGAAAAAGAUCAGAAAAGCUCUCUGCCCUCCCUCUAUUUGCCUAAAAACAGGACAAAAGUUUGUUAAGAUAUCCUCCCUCCCCUCUCUACCGCAAAGGACAGAAAUUAAUCACUGGAAACAAUGCUAGACCCUUAGCCUACAGGGCACCAGAGGAAUCGACAUAGUAAACCUCAUUAACUAGCCCUUAUCCUACAUUAGUUUUUCCCAUGUAUUUGCCUGUGCACAUUUUACUAGAAGCUCAAAGUCCUUUUCCUUUGUCUUGUCACUUUCUAAAACUUUAUUUUCUUUUUGUUAAGAUGCUCUUUAACCCCACUUUGUAACCAUCCCUUGGAGUUACUCAUCACUGGGUGCUCCCGUGGGUAUGUGCAAUGCCCACAUUAAUAAACUUCUGUUUGUUUCUCUCUUGUUAAUCUGCCUUUUGCCAAUCUAAUUUACAGGGCCCCAGCUGGAAAACCUAAGAUGGGUAGAGGAAAGAGACUUUUUUUCCUCUCCCCUAAGAAGUAAAGAAAACAUCGGGCAAGCCCAAACUGAGGGACAUUCUACAAAAUACCUAACCAGUACUUCUCAAAACUCUCAAGGUCAUAAACAACAAAACAAAAAGACUGAUAACAACUGUUACAGACCAUAAGAUACUAAGGAGAUAUGGCAGAUAAACAUAAUGUGAUACCCUGGAUUUUACAUUGGAACAGAAAAAGGACAUCAUGAAAAACCUGGUGAAAUCUGAAUGAAGUCUACAGUUCAGCUAAUAGCACUGUGUCAAUGUUAACUUCAUUUUUCCUAAAUGUAACACAGCUAGCAAGGCAAGAUGUUAACAAUGAGGGAAAACUGGAUGAAGGAUGUAUGGGACCUCUAUCCUAUUUUGCAACUUUUAUUCCAAAAUAAAAA
Molecule: long non-coding RNA, 1230 nt
Filed under: Homo sapiens (human)
Lineage: Eukaryota; Metazoa; Chordata; Mammalia; Primates; Hominidae
Description: HSALNT0230551
Source: RNAcentral